CUCGCGGGGCGCCCGCCGGAGGAAACCCAAACUCUUGGUAUUCAUGGCCUCUCUGAGUCUUCUGUACUGAAUAAGUCAAAACUUUCAACAACGGAUCUCUUGGUUCUGGCAUCGAUGAAGAACGCAGCGAAAUGCGAUAAGUAAUGUGAAUUGCAGAAUUCAGUGAAUCAUCGAAUCUUUGAACGCACAUUGCGCCCGCCAGUAUUCUGGCGGGCAUGCCUGUGCGGGAAGUCAUUUCAACCAUCAAGCCCCCGGGCUUGUGUUGGGGACCUGCGGCUGCCGCAGGCCCUGAAAACCAGUGGCGGGCUCGCUGUCACACCGAGCGUAGUAGAUUCUCAUCUCGCUCAGGGCGUGCUGCGGGUUCCGGCCGUAAAACAGCCUUAUUUACCCAAGGUGACCUCGAUCAGUAGAAG
This 413-nucleotide ribosomal RNA is filed under the name Thielavia sp. Aravind Mdu UI9. RNAcentral describes it as "eukaryotic LSU rRNA". The stretch from base 80 to 234 matches the Rfam family "5.8S ribosomal RNA". Lineage: Eukaryota; Fungi; Ascomycota; Sordariomycetes; Coronophorales; Ceratostomataceae. The record is from RNAcentral.